UACGUAGGGUGCAAGCGUUAAUCGGAAUUACUGGGCGUAAAGCGUGCGCAGGCGGUUAUGUAAGACAGUUGUGAAAUCCCCGGGCUCAACCUGGGAAUUGCAUCUGUGACUGCAUAGCUAGAGUACGGUAGAGGGGGAUGGAAAUUCCGCGUGUAGCAGUGAAAUGCGUAGAUAUGCGGAGGAACACCGAUGGCGAAGGGCAAUCCCCUGGGCCUGCACUGGACGCUCAUGCACGAAAGCGUGGGGAGCAAACAGG
Molecule: ribosomal RNA, 256 nt
Filed under: uncultured bacterium
Lineage: Bacteria
Description: partial 16S ribosomal RNA
Rfam family: Bacterial small subunit ribosomal RNA
Source: RNAcentral